GCAGAAGCUGAGGAGAUUCAAGGCCAUGUGAUACCAGAUUAGGUCCUGCGUGACGUGUUACUAGGGGAAAUAGCUGAGCCACCAGAAAAGUCACAGCCAGAUCUUUCCAUAUCCGUGCAAAUAGAGCUGAUGCCAAAAGGUGAUCAGAAGAUGAAGGAACCUCAAGAAACUUGCCCCCUACCAAAGUCAAGUCCUUUAAAUAAGUGAGUUUAAGAAAUACUUGCUGGAAACCUUAACAAUGGAAUUCGGUAUGUAAAUUAGUUUCAACAGGCUAAGCUCUGAGAAAGACUCUCUCAUCCGCACCUGUGAACCAUAGCAAAAAACUGCUGUUAAUUCUGAGAGGUGUAUGUCUCGGGACAGAGUCCUGAUAACACAGUGACUACUAUAAAGCUACGUUCGUACAAAUGUUUUAAGGAGUGCUCUGUUUUCUGUCACAUCAAGAAGUUAUCGCUGACAGGAUGCCUCGCUGGAAGUGAAAUCUCAACACUAGGGACCGUCCGUGGUGCAUUUACACAUGCCCAGUUUCUACUACGAAUGACUAUCAGUACUCCUACGUAUCAAUUGAAGAGAUUACUAGUCCUGUUACGGCUUUUUCAGAACUGCUGGGAGCAAAGCAUCAAUCUCCAUUUCCAUAGAGCUAGGCACAAGAAAAAGGAGGAUGUAGUGUAUUUUCAGACAUCGGGGGAGCAAGAGCAAGCAUAACAUGCCCUCUGUUACAUCGAUGGAUAAGCCAAGUCCUCUGGAAUAUCUUCACUAAGGACCGUUACUUUGCAUGAGCUACUGUGGUCAGUCAGCCGUAAUGCGUAUGACUUUCCAAAGGUGCUGUCAAGCAACAUGUGCUGGCCUACAGCCAGCUCUGAGAGGGGGCUUUGAAUGAACCGUGGUUCCACAGGACAAUAAAUCUGAUUUUAGUGCACCUAGGACUGAGUCA
RNAcentral lists this long non-coding RNA (931 nucleotides) under Struthio camelus australis. Its description in RNAcentral is "lncRNA (ENSSCUG00000011218.1)". Lineage: Eukaryota; Metazoa; Chordata; Aves; Struthioniformes; Struthionidae. The record is from RNAcentral.